GUUGGUCAUGUGUAUUCUUGAGUGAAUAACACUUUAUGUUCGUUGUUAUUGCUUGAGAAUACACGUAGUUAAC
RNAcentral lists this microRNA precursor (73 nucleotides) under Stegodyphus mimosarum. RNAcentral's name for it is "mir-137 microRNA precursor family". It matches the Rfam family "mir-137 microRNA precursor family". The record is from Rfam by way of RNAcentral. Lineage: Eukaryota; Metazoa; Arthropoda; Arachnida; Araneae; Eresidae.